AUUGAACGCUGGCGGCAUGCCUUACACAUGCAAGUCGAGCGGCAGCGCGGGGGCAACCCUGGCGGCGAGCGGCGGACGGGUGAGUAAUACAUCGGAACGUGUCCUUUCGUGGGGGAUAACCAGUCGAAAGACUGGCUAAUACCGCAUGAGAUCUCACGAUGAAAGCGGGGGACCGCAAGGCCUCGCGCGAUUGGAGCGGCCGAUGUCGGAUUAGCUAGUUGGCGGGGUAAUAGCCCACCAAGGCGACGAUCCGUAGCUGGUUUGAGAGAACGACCAGCCACACUGGGACUGAGACACGGCCCAGACUCCUACGGGAGGCAGCAGUGGGGAAUUUUGGACAAUGGGCGCAAGCCUGAUCCAGCCAUGCCGCGUGUGUGAAGAGGGCCUUCGGGUUGUAAAGCACUUUCGGCCGGAACGAAAUCGCGCGGAUUAAUAACCCGCGUGGAUGACGGUACCGGAAGAAGAAGCACCGGCUAACUACGUGCCAGCAGCCGCCGUAA
This 500-nucleotide ribosomal RNA is filed under the name uncultured bacterium. Its description in RNAcentral is "partial 16S ribosomal RNA". It matches the Rfam family "Bacterial small subunit ribosomal RNA", at positions 29 to 523 of the family's 1533-position model. The record is from RNAcentral.